GCUCAACCGGGGAGGGUCAUUGGAAACUGGGAAACUUGAGUGCAGAAAAGGAGAGUGGAAUUCCACGUGUAGCGGUGAAAUGCGUAGAGAUGUGGAGGAACACCAGUGGCGAAGGCGACUCUCUGGUCUGUAACUGACGCUGAGGAGCGAAAGCGUGGGGAGCGAACAGGAUUAGAUACCCUGGUAGUCCACGCCGUAAACGAUGAGUGCUAAGUGUUAGGGGGUUUCCGCCCCUUAGUGCUGCAGCUAACGCAUUAAGCACUCCGCCUGGGGAGUACGGUCGCAAGACUGAAACUCAAAGGAAUUGACGGGGGCCCGCACAAGCGGUGGAGCAUGUGGUUUAAUUCGAAGCAACGCGAAGAACCUUACCAGGUCUUGACAUCCUCUGACAACCCUAGAGAUAGGGCUUUCCCUUCGGGGACAGAGUGACAGGUGGUGCAUGGUUGUCGUCAGCUCGUGUCGUGAGAUGUUGGGUUAAGUCCCGCAACGAGCGCAACCCUUGAUCUUAGUUGCCAGCAUUUAGUUGGGCACUCUAAGGUGACUGCCGGUGACAAACCGGAGGAAGGUGGGGAUGACGUCAAAUCAUCAUGCCCCUUAUGACCUGGGCUACACAUGUGCUACAAUGGACAGAACAAAG
This 637-nucleotide ribosomal RNA is filed under the name uncultured bacterium. RNAcentral describes it as "bacterial SSU rRNA". It matches the Rfam family "Bacterial small subunit ribosomal RNA", at positions 607 to 1244 of the family's 1533-position model. The record is from RNAcentral.